AGAGUUUGAUCAUGGCUCAGGACGAACGCUGGCGGCGCGCCUAACACAUGCAAGUCGAACGAGCGAGAGAGAGCUUGCUUUCUUGAGCGAGUGGCGAACGGGUGAGUAACGCGUGAGGAACCUGCCUCAAAGAGGGGGACAACAGUUGGAAACGACUGCUAAUACCGCAUAAGCCCACGGCUCGGCAUCGAGCAGAGGGAGAAGGAGCAAUCCGCUUUGAGAUGGCCUCGCGUCCGAUUAGCUAGUUGGUGAGGUAACGGCCCACCAAGGCGACGAUCGGUAGCCGGACUGAGAGGUUGAACGGCCACAUUGGGACUGAGACACGGCCCAGACUCCUACGGGAGGCAGCAGUGGGGAAUAUUGCACAAUGGGGGAAACCCUGAUGCAGCGACGCCGCGUGGAGGAAGAAGGUCUUCGGAUUGUAAACUCCUGUUGUUGAGGAAGAUAAUGACGGUACUCAACAAGGAAGUGACGGCUAACUACGUGCCAGCAGCCGCGGUAAAACGUAGGUCACAAGCGUUGUCCGGAAUUACUGGGUGUAAAGGGAGCGCAGGCGGGAAGACAAGUUGGAAGUGAAAUCCAUGGGCUCAACCCAUGAACUGCUUUCAAAACUGUUUUUCUUGAGUGGUGCAGAGGUAGGCGGAAUUCCCGGUGUAGCGGUGGAAUGCGUAGAUAUCGGGAGGAACACCAGUGGCGAAGGCGGCCUACUGGGCACCAACUGACGCUGAGGCUCGAAAGUGUGGGUAGCAAACAGGAUUAGAUACCCUGGUAGUCCACACUGUAAACGAUGAUUACUAGGUGUUGGAGGAUUGACCCCUUCAGUGCCGCAGUUAACACAAUAAGUAAUCCACCUGGGGAGUACGACCGCAAGGUUGAAACUCAAAGGAAUUGACGGGGGCCCGCACAAGCAGUGGAGUAUGUGGUUUAAUUCGACGCAACGCGAAGAACCUUACCAAGUCUUGACAUCCCUUGACGAUGCUGGAAACAGUAUUUCUCCUCGGAGCAAGGAGACAGGUGGUGCAUGGUUGUCGUCAGCUCGUGUCGUGAGAUGUUGGGUUAAGUCCCGCAACGAGCGCAACCCUUAUGGUCAGUUACUACGCAAGAGGACUCUGGCCAGACUGCCGUUGACAAAACGGAGGAAGGUGGGGAUGACGUCAAACCAUCAUGCCCUUUAUGACUUGGGCUACACACGUACUACAAUGGCGUUAAACAAAGAGAAGCAAGACCGCGAGGUGGAGCAAAACUCAGAAACAACGUCCCAGUUCGGACUGCAGGCUGCAACUCGCCUACACGAAGUCGGAAUUGCUAGUAAUCGCAGAUCAGCAUGCUGCGGUGAAUACGUUCCCGGGCCUUGUACACACCGCCCGUCACACCAUGAGAGCCGGGGGGACCCGAAGUCGGUAGUCUAACCGCAAGGAGGACGCCGCCGAAGGUAAAACUGGUGAUUGGGGUGAAGUCGUAACAAGGUA
RNAcentral lists this ribosomal RNA (1469 nucleotides) under metagenome. Its description in RNAcentral is "bacterial SSU rRNA". It matches the Rfam family "Bacterial small subunit ribosomal RNA". The record is from RNAcentral.